GUCUACAGCGAAGCCACCCUAAAUGUGCCCGAUCUCAUGUGAUCUCGGAAGCUAAGCAGUUUUGGGCCUGGUUAAUACUUGAAUGGGAGACCACCUAGGAAUAUCAGGUGCUGUAGGCA
This is a ribosomal RNA of Pteropus vampyrus (large flying fox), 119 nucleotides long. The record is from Ensembl. Lineage: Eukaryota; Metazoa; Chordata; Mammalia; Chiroptera; Pteropodidae.